This is a long non-coding RNA of Eupeodes corollae, 944 nucleotides long. RefSeq lists it as uncharacterized. Lineage: Eukaryota; Metazoa; Arthropoda; Insecta; Diptera; Syrphidae. The record is from RefSeq and is a predicted model, not a curated record. The transcript is spliced from 3 exons.
CUAUUCGUUAAUAAUUUCGAUUUCGUCAAUACUUACAGCUAACCCUCAAACUAUCUACGAAUUCCUUGUCAUUUUCUUCUCAUUCAUACUUCAAUAUCAAGUACUUUGAUACAAGCAGCGCCCUCAGUAGUUUUGGAGUUGAAAUAAAAAAAUUCCUCUCAUAAUAGUACUAUCAUUGACAUACUAUACAUGGACUGCUAGUAGCCAACUUCACGAUGGUUCCACUUUUAACGGACAAAACACUAGCGCAAAGAGGGCUAUGCGGAAAAAUUGUAGUCUACUCUACCCACGGAUGAAAACUACUCCCCAAAAUAAAACGGAAAAGAAAUUUGUAUUUGGUUUACAAUAAAAACCAAAAUUUAAAAUAAAAUGCCCCAAUAAUAGUGCAACAGCAGAAAGAAAAUUUUCAGAUAUAAGCUUUAUAAAAGAUAAAAAAAGAAAUUCACUCAAGGUAGAAACGGUAAAUGCCCUACUAACUGCUAAGAAACUCCUUAAAAACAAUUUCACAGAAAAAUGGGAGCCAUCGAAAACUUUAAUCGAGAAUAACAAAUCAUUGUAUAGCUAUCAUUGGUUUUCAUCAUUGAAAACAAACAUUAGAAUUUUUUGACAGGUCGUUUACAGCUAUCCUUAAACAUUUCGGUCAUUGAAAAAAUUUCCCGAUUGAAAUCCACCGACAAAAUUUUACUGACAGAAAUCUAUCAUUGGAAUCAGGGGAACGAUUCGUUUCGCCUUUGAACAUAAAGUAUCAGCUGUUCAGGAAAAUGAAUUUCCGUCCGUUGUAGAGAAAAAUAAAUGCGCAAUUACACUUUUUUCUCAAAAAACAAAUUCUUUGUAUGAUUUCCGAUGGAUGAUUAUAUAAUUUUCAUUUCUAAUCAAAGGGAAACACCGUCUUGAUCGAUUCCAAUGGUAGCUAUAAUUGACCCCUUAAUGAUUGUAACUGAAAA